Molecule: long non-coding RNA, 606 nt
Organism: Alosa sapidissima (American shad)
Lineage: Eukaryota; Metazoa; Chordata; Actinopteri; Clupeiformes; Clupeidae
Exons: 4
Source: RefSeq, a predicted model, not a curated record
GCCACAGCCAGGAGAUGUUGCAGCCUCUCGGAAUGAUGACAUCAUCUAUUUUGAGGCUUCACCUCAAGUCCUUCCAAGCAGGAAGAGAAAAAGAGACAAAAUUUGAGAUUGCAAAAUACAUUCAACUUGUAACUUCCAGCGUGUACCAGUCAUACAGUACAAUGUCGGGAUCAUAAACAGCCACAGCAACGAAGAGGAAUGACCAAAGAAUGUACUGGUAUCUUUUGGCAGAGAACCCAUGAGUGUGGAAGGGGGUGAAUCUUUUGGAGGUGUUGUGGGCCUAUUUCAAUGAAACACAGAUGAAGGAAGUAGAUGUUAUCAGACUUUCCAGCAACCUUCCCAUCCUAACUGUUGCUGGGUUAAAUGAAUCAUCAGAGAAAGAACAGGAAGAGAACGGAAGAGACACAUAAACUGUAAUCUCUAGGAAGCUGCAGUAAGAAACGUUUGGAAGAACUUCAAGCCAACGAGAUCACCAAGUUUAAUGUCACUCCACACAGCGAGGACGAAGCUUGGGGGGCUGACGCAGACGCAGACAGGGACAUGGACCGCAUAACCUUGGGAGUCGCCAUCUCCUCAAACCCAAACAGAGUCUCCCGUCGCGAGGGC